Molecule: ribosomal RNA, 90 nt
Filed under: Pogona vitticeps (central bearded dragon)
Lineage: Eukaryota; Metazoa; Chordata; Lepidosauria; Squamata; Agamidae
Source: RNAcentral
UUUCAUUAGCAUACCACUGUAAUCAUAAAUGAUCUCACCUGCUUUCAUAAGUUAAGCAGGGUUGGCCCUGGUUAGUGCUUGGAAUGGAAA